UCUCUUUGAAAUGCUAGGUCUUGAUGCUCC
Molecule: non-coding RNA, 30 nt
Filed under: Rattus norvegicus (Norway rat)
Lineage: Eukaryota; Metazoa; Chordata; Mammalia; Rodentia; Muridae
Source: RNAcentral